RNAcentral lists this transfer RNA (69 nucleotides) under Iotaphora admirabilis. RNAcentral's name for it is "tRNA-Gln". The record is from RNAcentral. Lineage: Eukaryota; Metazoa; Arthropoda; Insecta; Lepidoptera; Geometridae.
UAUAUUUUAGUGUAAGAGGCACAUUAAUUUUUGAUAUUAAUAGGUAUAGUUUAAUUCUAUAAAAUAUAA